Microcebus murinus (gray mouse lemur) is the source of this 278-nucleotide non-coding RNA. Lineage: Eukaryota; Metazoa; Chordata; Mammalia; Primates; Cheirogaleidae. The record is from RefSeq and is a predicted model, not a curated record.
CUUUGCUCCAGUCAAGAGUAUCUGAGGGAUCUGAAGCUCUCCUUAUCACAGGGGUCCCCAACCUAUGUUCAGCUAAGAGACAUUGGAGUUUUUCAAAACGGACUCACUUGAAUAUUUGGGGGAAACAGAAGAAUAAAGAAAAAAAAGAACAAAUCCCAAUUCAAGAAGCCAAGCACCCAGAAGUCUAGAAGCCCUGUGUCUCGGAAACUGACAAGUGCCUAGUCUUUGAUACUGGCCAGUCUCCUGGGAGAAAAAGCAGAGGUAAAAUGGCAUCUCCA